Long non-coding RNA from Herpailurus yagouaroundi (jaguarundi), 121 nucleotides. RefSeq lists it as uncharacterized. The transcript has 3 exons. Lineage: Eukaryota; Metazoa; Chordata; Mammalia; Carnivora; Felidae. The record is from RefSeq and is a predicted model, not a curated record.
AAUGGGGAGGGAGGCCCAGCAGCCUUACAAACGAUGUUGCAGGCACAGGAGGACGCAGAAGACAUCGGUGCAGUGUCCGAGCUAGAGCGGGGCCACAGGUGUAUGGAGAUGGACUCUUAAG